ACUGGAACUGAAACACGGUCCAGACUCCUACGGGAGGCAGCAGUGGGGAAUAUUGCGCAAUGGGCGAAAGCCUGACGCAGCAACGCCGUGUGAGGGAUGAAGGCUUUCGGGUCGUAAACCUCUGUCGGAAGGGAAGAACGGGCAUUGGUCUAAUAGGCCUUUGUUUUGACGGUACCUUUAGAGGAAGCACCGGCUAACUCCGUGCCAGCAGCCGCGGUAAUACGGAGGGUGCAAGCGUUAUUCGGAAUUACUGGGCGUAAAGCGCACGUAGGCGGCCUUGUAAGUCAGGGGUGAAAUCCCACGGCUCAACCGUGGAACUGCCUUUGAAACUGCAGGGCUUGAAUCCUGGAGAGGGUGGCGGAAUUCCUGGUGUAGGAGUGAAAUCCGUAGAUAUCAGGAGGAACACCGGUGGCGAAGGCGGCCACCUGGACAGGCAUUGACGCUGAGGUGCGAAAGUGUGGGGAGCAAACAGGAUUAGAUACCCUGGUAGUCCACACCGUAAACGAUGGAUACUAGGUGUCGGGGACUUGAUCUUCGGUGCCGUAGCUAACGCGUUAAGUUCCCGCCU
Molecule: ribosomal RNA, 568 nt
Filed under: bacterium KA3110A-SRB-5-4-10000x-1A(SRB 32)
Lineage: Bacteria
Description: bacterial SSU rRNA
Rfam family: Bacterial small subunit ribosomal RNA
Source: RNAcentral